GACGAACGCUGGCGGCGUGCCUAACACAUGCAAGUCGAACGGAACUGUUUUGAAAGAUUUCUUCGGAAUGAAUUUGAUUUAGUUUAGUGGCGGACGGGUGGGUAACGCGUGAGUAACCUGCCUUCAAGAGGGGAAUAACAUUCUGAAAAGAAUGCUAAUACCGCAUGACAUAUCGGAACCACAUGGUUUUGAUAUCAAAGAUUUUAUCGCUUGAAGAUGGACUCGCGUCCGAUUAGUUAGUUGGUGAGGUAACGGCUCACCAAGACCGCGAUCGGUAGCCGGACUGAGAGGUUGAACGGCCACAUUGGGACUGAGACACGGCCCAGACUCCUACGGGAGACAGCAGUGGGGGAUAUUGCGCAAUGGGGGCAACCCUGACGCAGCAACGCCGCGUGAAGGAUGAAGGUUUUCGGAUUGUAAACUUCUUUUAUUAAGGACGAAAAAUGACGGUACUUAAUGAAUAAGCUCCGGCUAACUACGUG
RNAcentral lists this ribosomal RNA (482 nucleotides) under uncultured bacterium. RNAcentral describes it as "partial 16S ribosomal RNA". It matches the Rfam family "Bacterial small subunit ribosomal RNA", at positions 28 to 507 of the family's 1533-position model. The record is from RNAcentral.